GAUGAACGCUGGCGGCGUGCUUAACACAUGCAAGUCGAACGAAGCACUUUGGGCAGAUUCUUCGGAUGAAGUCCUUAGUGACUGAGUGGCGGACGGGUGAGUAACGCGUGGGUAACCUGCCUCAUACAGGGGGAUAACAGUUAGAAAUGGCUGCUAAUACCGCAUAAGCGCACGGUACUGCAUGGUACAGUGUGAAAAACUCCGGUGGUAUGAGAUGGACCCGCGUUGGAUUAGCUAGUUGGCAGGGUAACGGCCUACCAAGGCGACGAUCCAUAGCCGGCCUGAGAGGGUGGACGGCCACAUUGGGACUGAGACACGGCCCAGACUCCUACGGGAGGCAGCAGUGGGGAAUAUUGCACAAUGGGGGAAACCCUGAUGCAGCGACGCCGCGUGAGCGAAGAAGUAUUUCGGUAUGUAAAGCUCUAUCAGCAGGGAAGAAAAUGACGGUACCUGACUAAGAAGCC
Molecule: ribosomal RNA, 464 nt
Filed under: uncultured bacterium
Lineage: Bacteria
Description: bacterial SSU rRNA
Rfam family: Bacterial small subunit ribosomal RNA
Source: RNAcentral